RNAcentral lists this long non-coding RNA (1184 nucleotides) under Helianthus annuus (common sunflower). RNAcentral's name for it is "hypothetical non coding rna". The record is from RNAcentral. Lineage: Eukaryota; Viridiplantae; Streptophyta; Magnoliopsida; Asterales; Asteraceae.
UUUGGUUCGAUCAACUCUAAGUUGAAGUUAUUACUUCAUACCUGAGUUGUUUGAAUCAAAACUUCCUAGCUUGGACCCUUUGUAAGCAUUCUUUCGUUCUUUUAUGCGUUUUAAGCACGAAAGUCAAACAAUGUUUGACUUUCUGCUUUGACCAGGUUAUGGUCAACACAAAGUUCGUUUGAACAUUGCAACGUGAGCGUAAUCACGAUGGUUAUAGUCUCGUGUGACUAUACCUACUAAUUACCACGUUGAUUAGGCGUAGUGGCGAGUCGUAGUUUCGGUCAAAAUGCGUAUUCAUGCGUAUUUUGUAACCAAACUACUCUUGGGUAUCAAAACACUUUGUUUGAUAUCAAAACCUGUAUUCUAACUUAAUGUUUUAACAUGUUUAGCUCGUCACUCUUAAUCUAGUGCUUAUAUAGAGUCGUAAGUCAAGUUGUCUUAACAACCGCUUAGACUUUCAAACUAGACCCGUUUGGUCGAUCAUUAGGAUCCGACCAAACAUAUUUUGUGACCAUAGUUGCAUAGGGAAUAACCUUCCGAGGUUAUACCUUAUGGUCACUUCGUUUAAGUAGUUGUAUGAUAGGUAGUUUAUAUGCCUUAGGAAAAUGACCAAAAUGCCCUUUUUACGCAUAAAUUCAUUUUAAGCAUAUGUAACCUAAAUUUUCACAUCUAAACUAAUUAGGUAACAUUAUUAGACAUGUUGAGGCAUAUAAUACUUGUCAUAGGACUAGUUAGGCGGUCCGAACGCGUUUCCCGCGAACGACGCGUUAAAGUAGCGUAAGUUACCUAAACGGGUCGUAAUGGGUCGUAAGCACUUAGGUUAGGUUUCGAUUUAGUAUGUAGGCUUUGUUAAACCAUAUCAUAUGAGUUCCAAUACUCAUUUGGUCUACGAAACCUCAUCCUAUCCGAUCUUCCGAUUUAGGUCCGGUUUAUUUACGUAGUACUUAUAGUAGGUGCCGAUUGAUUUCCGUGAUCCCUCUAGCUUUGCUGGUUGUUACUCAAGACUUCUAAGCAUGCUCAAGUGUUGUUGAAUGAUGUUGAUUGCUAGGAUGCAUGCCCACAUAGGACUAGACGAGGCCUUAGUGACUUAAUAACAAUGAUAGACUAUGUUUAACUUGUUUGUUUAGAUUUCAAGAUGAUUUCAAGAUGAUGUAAAUGUUUAAUGUUUAAUAAAACGAAACUUC